CCUACGGGAGGCAGCAGUGAGGAAUAUUGGUCAAUGGGCGCGAGCCUGAACCAGCCAAGUAGCGUGAAGGGUGACUGCUCUCCGGGUUUUACACUUCUUUUAUAAAGGAAUAAAGUGAGGCACGUGUGCCUAUUUGUAUGUAUUUUAUUAAUAAGGAUCGGCUAACUCCGUGCCAGCAGCCGCGGUAAUACGGAGGAUCCGAGCGUUAUCCGGAUUUAUUGGGUUUAAAGGGAGCGUAGAUGGUUUGUUAAGUCAGUGGUGAAAGUUUGCGGCUCAACCGUAAAAUUGCAAUUGAUACUGGCAGUCUUGAGUACAGGUGAGGUAGGCGGAAUGCGUGGUGUAGCGGUGAAAUGCUUAGAUAUCACGAAGAACUCCGAUUGCGAAGGCAGCCUACUAAACUGCCACUGACAUUGAUGCUCGAAAGUGUGGGUAUCAAACAGGAUUAGAUACCCUUGUAGUC
Molecule: ribosomal RNA, 460 nt
Filed under: uncultured bacterium
Lineage: Bacteria
Description: partial 16S ribosomal RNA
Rfam family: Bacterial small subunit ribosomal RNA
Source: RNAcentral